Long non-coding RNA from Pan troglodytes (chimpanzee), 285 nucleotides. RefSeq lists it as uncharacterized. NCBI's taxonomy places the organism in Eukaryota, Metazoa, Chordata, Mammalia, Primates, Hominidae. The transcript is spliced from 4 exons. The record is from RefSeq and is a predicted model, not a curated record.
CAGAUCUCCCGGAUGUGCAAGUGACAUUCUCCAUCUUCUUUUCACCUAGUGUGUGAAUAAUGGGGUGUGAAGAAAGAAAGCAAAAUAUUCUCAUGUCUGUCCUUAACAUCAUAGGAACCUGAUCUUUCUACUGGAAGCCUGGUAAGAAAAAUCCACAUCGUGACACGGAAGAGAUGGAGGAAGAAGAGAAAACAAAAGGAGAGGACAACACUGGGGAGAAUUCUCAGCACAUUGGCGGUAGCCUUUCAAUUCCAGCGCUGAAGCAACAGACUGAGAGGAAGUGAA